AUGGAAAAUGAGUUAAAAUUGGUAGAGACUGACUGGUGUUGGCUUGUAAGAAAGGAUUUCAGGAUGAAAGGAGAAAAUGAGAAGAGAUUUUUAAAUUGGCAACAAUUUAAUGAACUUUCUUUCAAUUACAAUUAAUUUAAUUCCUUUGAUAAGAAAUUUAGAUGACGGAGAAAAUAAUCUCAAUCAAUUUGACCUUAGAAGUGUAAAUCGUGAUUGAUUUGAUUGAUUUGUUUCCAAUUAACCAGAAAAUUGUAAACGACAAUCAGUUGAUUAACUUGAGAGAGAGAGAAAAGAUGUGACAUAAUUUAAAAAUGAAUAGAAAAUGAAAACUCACAGUUAAUUGUCAGAGAGAAAAAGUAAUCAUUGGAUUGUUGGUGUCGUUUAAUGAACAACGAAAAAAAAAACUGUAAAUCAAAUCAAAGUCACUAAUCAAGUUGAUUCAGUUUGAUAUCAAUUAGUUUCACCGAUUAAUGUCCGUCAUUGUCAGUUGAUUGUUUUCCUUUGCCAAUUGUUAAUUCUGCUGAUUGUUGUUCAAUUUUUUUUUCUCAUUGUAACUUCUAAAUUCAAUGGUUAUCAUUAGCAAUUUAUUUUCUCUCUGAAAGUUAUUUUAUUUUCCAUUGAUUGUGAUCCAAUCAAUUGUCUAAUUACUUUACAAAUUAUUCGCAACAAAUAUUAGUUAACCUUAAUUCCUUGUGAUACCUUCAUCUUCACCACCAUCGUUAUAAUUACAAUUAGUGUAUCAAAUUAUUAAUCUCUAACUGUGGUUAAUUGUUGUUCAUCAUUUUCUCAGUGUUGAUAUUAUUUUGUUACUCUAAUUGUUUUAGAAUAGAAAACAAUCAAUGUCUCCUAAAUCGUUUUUCAUUGAUACAAUUGAUCGGCUAUCGGUCAACAAGAUGAAAUCAACGUAUGAAAAACUUGACCCAUCAAAUGUUGACCACGAUAAUAUGGACUAUUCAUCUUUGGUUGACGAUUCGACACCAAAUAAACGACCUAAGGCCGAUAAUCAAUCAAUAUCAUCAUCGAUCAGUUUUGAUAAAAUAUUCAAGGACAAUCCAAUUUAUCGUAAAAUUGAUGCUUGGCUUCAUCCAAAAGAACAUGGAAUCAUCUCUAAGGUUGAUACUAAUUAACUAAAUUGUACCUUCAUUAUUUCUGAUUAUAAUUAAAUUCCCAUUUCCCAAACAAUUAAUUUUUCGAUUUUCAAUCAACUUAAUCAUCACAUAAUAAGAGUGAAUCUUUAAUUUCAA
Molecule: long non-coding RNA, 1244 nt
Organism: Panonychus citri (citrus red mite)
Lineage: Eukaryota; Metazoa; Arthropoda; Arachnida; Trombidiformes; Tetranychidae
Exons: 2
Source: RefSeq, a predicted model, not a curated record